RNAcentral lists this long non-coding RNA (1512 nucleotides) under Sarcophilus harrisii (Tasmanian devil). RNAcentral's name for it is "lncRNA (ENSSHAG00000024950.1)". Lineage: Eukaryota; Metazoa; Chordata; Mammalia; Dasyuromorphia; Dasyuridae. The record is from RNAcentral.
CCCCAAAUUUUCAUUUUCAUGUAGAAAAAAAUAAACCAAAAAUAACUAUUCACCUACAAUUCAAAUGAUUUCUACGGCAAAACUGAAAAUAGAAAAUCUACACUUACAGCAGAUUUAAAAUAAAACCUUAGUGCAAGAAACAUAACCAAGUUAAUCACAGAAUCAGUACUAAUGAAAGAGGAUGGAAAAUUCUCCUAUACAGAGGUAGAGUCCAGUGCACAAGGCUAAAACAAUAUUCAAUAGUCUAAACAAGACCGAGCCAAAUUUUAUGGAAUCCACUUUAAAUUUUAAGUAUCAGACUGUAUGUACAUACAUACAAUAAAUAGACUAUACAAUCUUUAAAGUAGUUUUAAUAAACUCCACAAAAUUAUAGCAGAUGCAUCGAGAUAUUUACAUAAUUCAAAGUUUAUAUGUCUCUCAUUCAAAUAAAAGGGAUAAAACUACAAUUUCUGUUAGAAAGGUAACAGAACUUUUUUGAAAUGGUUUGGUAAAAGACGACAACCAUUGACAUUAUGGUAGGAACUCAUUUUUCUUGAGAGGUAUUAAAAUUUCAGAAGUUAAGAAAAUAUGUCCCUUUUUUUUUUUUCAGCUAGAUAGAUUUUUGGAAUACUUUUUUUUUUUUAAACUUUCUAUUACAUUUUUCUGUUCCAAAUUGAACCCGCAUGUGAACAGAGAGGCUAGUUGGGGAACCCAAAUGAAUGGAUACAAUCAAGGGAAGAAGAAAUUUCAUUUUAAGGUUUGGGUUUUUCAAAGGGUUUUUUUGGCUUUUUUUUUUAAGAUGAUCUAUCACAAAGAAUUAAGAUGUAUUGUUUUAAGCCAACAAUCAGGUAACAAAGGUGAUAAAUCACAUGAGCCUGCAAAUAGAGAAUAUUCAGUCUGGAAUUGGUACCUUGGCCCUUAGAAGGCCAUUUGUUUAAAAGACAUGUUUCACUGAGAGGUGUGAAUAAAUAUAUUCAUGGAUAGGUCUAUGACCUUUGGGCACUAAGGUGGGAAAGAAAACUAAUGGAAAAUUUUUCCAUUUUCAAUUAGUCCAAAAAAAAAUAUAAAAAAAAAAACAAAAAACCCUGAAGAAAAUCUGCCAUCCACAUCACUGAAUUUAAAAAGAAGGCAGGGGAAGGGAAGGGACCCCUCUCCUCUGUCAUCAGAUCCAGAGGAAAAGUAUAAAAAGAAAAAACCUUUCACAGAAUCAUAUUCAUGGACUUGAGUUCAAAAUUAUCACUCCCCCAUCCCCAACCUUGAUAAGUUUUUGUGUAUAUAGGUUCAGACUUGUGAUUUCAUUGGCAUAGGGAACUCCAGAGUGUGAAAAUUCCCUCCAUGAAUGCAGAUCAGUAAUUCAUCUAUAACUUUUAAUAUUAAAGGGUUGCCUGAGGCACAGAAGGAUUGAGAAACUUGCUCAUGAUUUUAUAGUUAUUAGGUGUCAAGAGUCAGCAUUUGAAUCCAGGUCUUCCUGAUUCAGCUGGCUAUCUAAUGUACCAUGCUUUCUCUCAAUCUUCACAUUACAAUAAAAUAUUC